UACGUAGGGGGCAAGCGUUGUCCGGAUUUAUUGGGCGUAAAGAGCGUGUAGGCGGCCAAGCAGGUCCGCUGUGAAAACUCGAGGCUCAACCUCGAGACGCCGAUGGAAACCAUCUGACUAGAGUCCGGAAGAGGAGAGUGGAAUUCCUGGUGUAGCGGUGAAAUGCGCAGAUAUCAGGAAGAACACCCGUGGCUAAGGCGGCUCUCUAGUACGGUACUGACGCUGAGACGCGAAAGCGUGGGGAGCGAACAGG
Molecule: ribosomal RNA, 253 nt
Filed under: uncultured bacterium
Lineage: Bacteria
Description: partial 16S ribosomal RNA
Rfam family: Bacterial small subunit ribosomal RNA
Source: RNAcentral